GGGGCUGAUCGGUUUCGACGUCGAGACGAGAAGUCGUGGUUGCGACUCGAGUUGCUCAGACUCGUUAAACGGGGCUCUUCAGAAGCGCCAACAAGGCUGACUUCGCUCUUGCUGCCUGAUUUUCAGGUGGUUUGAGGAACAUCGCGAGCCGUGAGGCCACGCGGGGUCGAAUCGCUGCAGCCCGGCAACAGAAGCAGUGAUGGACAGCGGGAGAGACCGCUGACGGCAGGCAAAGACCGCUGACUCCUGGGAAAGCCCAGGCGGUAGGAGCCCGAAGGGUUCCCCCUGACCCGGCAGACCGGCAGCCGUAAGGCCGAAACCACGGGAAUAGUCGUAGCGAACUCGAUGACUCCUCGACGGACGGGGGUUCGAUUCCCCCC
RNAcentral lists this transfer-messenger RNA (380 nucleotides) under Actinomycetes bacterium. RNAcentral describes it as "partial transfer-messenger RNA". It matches the Rfam family "transfer-messenger RNA". Rfam says of the family: Bacterial tmRNA, also known as 10Sa RNA or SsrA, is named for its dual tRNA and mRNA-like properties. Its role is to liberate the mRNA from a stalled ribosome. The record is from RNAcentral. Lineage: Bacteria; Bacillati; Actinomycetota; Actinomycetes.